This 253-nucleotide ribosomal RNA is filed under the name uncultured bacterium. Its description in RNAcentral is "partial 16S ribosomal RNA". It matches the Rfam family "Bacterial small subunit ribosomal RNA", at positions 524 to 776 of the family's 1533-position model. The record is from RNAcentral.
UACGUAGGGGGCAAGCGUUGUCCGGAUUUAUUGGGUUUAAAGGGUGCGUAGGCGGUCUUUUAAGUCAGUGCUGAAAUACUCCAGCUUAACUGGAGGGGUGGCAUUGAUACUGGAAGACUUGAGUGCAGUCGAGGUAGGCGGAAUUGACGGUGUAGCGGUGAAAUGCUUAGAUAUCGUCAAGAACACCGAUAGUGAAGACAGCUUACUAGGCUGCAACUGACGCUGAGGCACGAAAGUGUGGGGAUCAAACAGG